UUUAAUUUAGCAUAACAUAAUGCGAAGAGUUUAAGCCCUCUUAGAUCUUAAUUAAAA
RNAcentral lists this transfer RNA (57 nucleotides) under Dermatophagoides pteronyssinus (European house dust mite). RNAcentral's name for it is "tRNA-Leu". Lineage: Eukaryota; Metazoa; Arthropoda; Arachnida; Sarcoptiformes; Pyroglyphidae. The record is from RNAcentral.